AGCGAACGCUGGCGGCAGGCCUAACACAUGUAAGUCGAACGAACCUUUCGGGGUUAGUUGCUGAUGGGUGAGUAACACGUGGGAACGUGCCGUUAUGUUCGGAAUAACUCAGGGACAUUUGUGCUAAUACCGAAUGUGCUCUUCGGGGGCAAGAUUCAUCGCAUUUAGAUCGGCCGGCGUCCGAUUAGCCAGUUGGUUGUGGUAAUGGCGCACCAGAGUGACCAUCAGUAGCUGGUCUGUGAGAAUGAGCAGCCACAUUGGGACUUGGACGCGGCCCAGACUAUUGCAGGAGGGAGGAGUGGCGAAUCUUGCGCAAUGGCGUAAAGCCUGACGGAGCCAUGCCGGGUGAAUGAUGAAGGUCUGAGGAUAAAAAAACUCUUUCACAGGGGGCGAUAAUGACGGUACCCAAAGAAGAAGCCCCGGCUAACUUCGUG
This 434-nucleotide ribosomal RNA is filed under the name uncultured bacterium. RNAcentral's name for it is "partial 16S ribosomal RNA". It matches the Rfam family "Bacterial small subunit ribosomal RNA", at positions 29 to 507 of the family's 1533-position model. The record is from RNAcentral.